AUUUUAUACACCUCCCACUGGCAGCGCUCGCUGGUCGACCGGCUUCUGAGGAAUCUUGUCGUGCAUUUCGAUUUUCACAGCUUAAGAACAAUGAAUCGCAAACCUGUCUGAUGACUUUAUGCACUACUGAUAUCCUUAUAGGAGAAGCAAUGCAUUUCAGAAGUGCUGCAGGAAAGCUUUGUGGGCACUGGUAUCUCUCACCACUGGUGUCUCUUCUUAAAGCUGUGAGAUGACAGGACUGCUGCAACUUCUAGGAUCUUUCAACUUGAAGCAAAUUUCAGUUUCCGAGCCAAGCAUCAAUAACGUGAACAGCAGAGGACAGCGCUUGAUCAAACGGAGCAUUGAGGGGUGGAACAGCCAGGGCAGAACACCAGAGACACUUCCUAGCACACAACACUUACCACAACCUUCAUUGGGGAUUUUGAUUAGCGGUUCAGAUUUUUCAUCUAUUCACCAUCUCCAGGUGUUCCCAGAGGAUUUCACCGACGAAGUCUGGCGCCAGGUCCAGGAAGCGCUCCUUGCCCAGUGC
This is a long non-coding RNA of Scleropages formosus (Asian bonytongue), 529 nucleotides long. RefSeq lists it as uncharacterized. The transcript is spliced from 3 exons. The record is from RefSeq and is a predicted model, not a curated record. Lineage: Eukaryota; Metazoa; Chordata; Actinopteri; Osteoglossiformes; Osteoglossidae.